RNAcentral lists this long non-coding RNA (830 nucleotides) under Vigna radiata. RNAcentral describes it as "long non-coding RNA (VRAD_LNC002156)". Lineage: Eukaryota; Viridiplantae; Streptophyta; Magnoliopsida; Fabales; Fabaceae. The record is from RNAcentral.
CAAGCAAGUGUUUCACUCAAUCACUCAAGUGUUUAAGGUGACACUCCACUCUCUGUUGUUCACAAGUUACAUGAAACAAAAUUGUCAUUCAUCUCAAACAAUCGACAUCUUUACAUGCAAAUGUCAUCAAAAGGACUUUUCCAAGGCUUGUAAUGAGGUUGGGCUAACAACAAAGAAUUGGUUUUUCUAGAAUGCAAAAUCCUUGAGUCAAGAGAGCUAUCAAAAUAUUCAACAUUUAAACACAACUCUCUUCCUCACCAAUCUCUCUCAUUCCCAACUUUUUCCGUUUUCUCUUUCUUUUGCAUUGAGCUCUUCUUCAUGCUUUUCUUCUUUUCUUUUCUUUUUCUCAUGAAUUUUUCUUUUCACACAUUUGAGCUCAAUGUUUUUCACUUGCUUUUCAAAUUUUCCCCCGUACAACCCUAAACUUGAAUCUUUUCAUUCCAUACAAUUAAGCUCAUCCCAACUCAAGGUAAAGAACUUCAAAACAAGGGUUCACAUCCUGUUUAAGGCUAAGGUUCAAAAGGGGUAUAAUAUUUCAAGCACUUUGGGUGAAAAUUUGGGUAGAGAAGGGUUUUCAAAAAUGGCCUUGACCAUAUGACAUUCACAUGCAAUUCAAUUGAUCAUCAAGAUUAAGGCAAUAUCAUCCAUGUUUUUCCUGUGAACAAUGCAUACAUCAAUAAAAACUCUGGAGCUCAAAAUCUCACACACAUGCUUUCUCACACAAAAUUCAUUCAUACACCCUGCCUAGCAUCAUGACCACAAUCAUAAAUUCAUCACACAUCUAUUUCCUGGAUAUCAUCAUGCAUUACNACUCAAUUCUCAUCCACAUC